CUUAUAAUUUUAUUUUGAUUUUCCAGGUUGAAUAAUAGUGUAGUCCGAGUACUUGAUAGCAUCAUGGCUGCUUACAUUGGUCAUAUUUGUAAGCUUACACUGCCAAGGAUUAGAUGUCACUCCAGGAUUGAUACAUACUAUAACCACAUCAGGGCUAUUACGAGUAUUGUUCAUCAGUCAAAAAAGCAGGUUGUAUUGGGUAUUGAAACCAGCUGUGAUGAUACUGGUGCAGCUGUUGUUAGUGAGGAUGGGGAAAUUCUUGGUGAAGAUCUUUAUAGUCAACAAAAAAUUCAUUUACUGCAUGGUGGCAUAAUUCCUCCAAUUGCAAAUAGGCUGCAUGCAGAAAGAAUCGAGUCUGUAGUGACAACAGCUAUAGAAAGAUCUGGAGUAAGUCUCAACGAAAUUGAUGCUAUUGCUACGACAGUUAAACCUGGUUUAUCUCUCUCUUUAUGUGUUGGAAUUAAUUAUGGGAAGAAACUUGCACUCAGUGCUAAUAAACCAUUCAUCCCAAUACACCACAUGGAGGCUCAUGCUCUCACAAUCCGUAUGAUUGAAAAGGUUGAGUUUCCUUUUUUGGUAUUGCUAAUAUCAGGUGGUCACAGUCUUUUAGUCCUAGCAAGAAGUCUGGAUGAGUGGAGUAUCAUAGGCAAAUCUGUUGAUGAUGCUCCUGGAGAAGCACUAGAUAAGGGUGCAAGAAGGUUAAAGCUAAGAAAUAUUCCAGAGCUUUCCUCAAUGUGUGGAGGCCAAGCUAUAGAAUAUCUUGCUAGAGAUGGUAAUCCAAGAGCUUUUGAUUUUCCAACACCCAUGUGGAAAUACAGUGACUGUACUUUCAGCUUCUCCGGUCUAAAAUUUACUCUGAAGAAGACUGUUGAAAAAUUAGAAGAAGAAUAUGAAAUAGAAGGAGGAAGAAUAAUACCCCAGGUAAAAGAUGUGUGUGCAUCAUAUCAGUAUGCUAUAACAAAGCAUAUUGUUCGACAGACUCAGAGGGCAAUGGUAUAUGUAGAAACACGAGAACUGCUUCCCAAGGAGAAUUACACACUGGUUGUUUCAGGAGGAGUUGCCUGUAACCAGUACAUCAGAAGAGCAUUAUCAUUAUUGUGCACUGAGAUGGGUUAUAGACUUGUAUGUCCACCACCAAAACUGUGCACAGAUAACGGAAUUAUGAUUGCUUGGAAUGGAAUGGAAAGAUGGAAGGCCAAAAGCGGCAUUUUGUAUAACAAGGAUGAUAUAGAGGCAGUUAAAUUUCAGCCUAAAUGCCCAAUAGGAGAAGAUUUAACUGAUGACGUCCGCAGUCUAGGAAUCAAGAUAAAAAGAUGGGUUAAAUUUAGAUGAAGUUAAAAAUAUAUAGACAAUUGUCAGUUAUCUUGCUGUAAUCCAGCUCCAGUGGACAUGAGAACCAGGAGGUGCUAAGCGCCAUCACCGUCAAAACCAAGAUUUUCACAGAAAACGGUACAUCGUAUGCAUAAAAAUUUUUCUCAAUGUGCUUUAUGGCACUUUCUGGCCCUACAACAUGGUCGAAAAUGCCAUAGAAGUCAAUGCAUGUUUCACCUGAAAAAUUUGUAGCAUGUAUCGAAUAAAUGCUUAGAACCAGGUGUCAUCUCGCAUCGCGUCCCUCCACCACUAAGCGUCAAGAUUUCCAGGGAAAGCAGCAGCCAAUCACAGUGCUUCGUCAAUGAGUGAGUAGGUGUCUCAGCCAAUCAGCGCUCACGAAGCAUAGCGUCACGGGAUGCGGCAGAAUGUAAAGAAAACUCACCCACCUCCCCCACUGACCACCGAUGACAACUUCUUGCGCGGAUUGGAUUAUGUUGCUUUGAUGAGUGUUAAAUCAAAAAUUUUUAUUAUCAUUAAUAUUAUUAAUAAUUA
RNA transcript from Macrobrachium nipponense, 1863 nucleotides. It is a transcript of the gene named tRNA N6-adenosine threonylcarbamoyltransferase, mitochondrial-like, with no coding region annotated. The transcript has 10 exons. NCBI's taxonomy places the organism in Eukaryota, Metazoa, Arthropoda, Malacostraca, Decapoda, Palaemonidae. The record is from RefSeq and is a predicted model, not a curated record.